Molecule: ribosomal RNA, 467 nt
Filed under: uncultured Thiomonas sp.
Lineage: Bacteria; Pseudomonadati; Pseudomonadota; Betaproteobacteria; Burkholderiales
Description: bacterial SSU rRNA
Rfam family: Bacterial small subunit ribosomal RNA
Source: RNAcentral
CAUGCAGUCGAACGGCAGCGCGGGGCACCUGGCGGCGAGUGGCGAACGGGUGAGUAAUACAUCGGAACGUGCCCUGUGAUGGGGGAUAACUACGCGAAAGCGUAGCUAAUACCGCAUACGACCUAAGGGUGAAAGUGGGGGAUCGAAAGACCUCACGUCAUAGGAGCGGCCGAUGGCGGAUUAGCUAGUUGGUGAGGUAAAGGCUUACCAAGGCGACGAUCCGUAGCUGGUCUGAGAGGACGACCAGCCACACUGGGACUGAGACACGGCCCAGACUCCUACGGGAGGCAGCAGUGGGGAAUCUUGGACAAUGGGGGCAACCCUGAUCCAGCAAUGCCGCGUGUGGGAUGAAGGCCUUCGGGUUGUAAACCACUUUUGGCGGGGGCGAAAUAUCGAAUGAUAAUACCAUUCGGUGAUGACGGUACCCGCAGAAUAAGCACCGGCUAACUACGUGCCAGCAGCCCGGG